UGGGGAGGGUGCAGGCUGAUGGCUGUUGGGGAAACACAAGGAGCGGAGCACACAAUUCACGGAGGAAAGUGAAUUCUAGUUGAUUGUGCAGUACAACUGAACACGUGAUCCAGAGAAACAGGAAUUAAAAAUUCCCCGGCAUAAUGAAGCUGCUGACGUUUCAUUUGGAGGUGCUCACGGCAGUAGACACUAGUUCCUCGGCAUUUGAAGUAACCUUACAAUGAAGUGUGCCGUUUGUUACAGCUGAUUCACAAUGAAGAUCUAUCUUGUAUCCGAAGUUCAUUGGCCACAGGUGGAAGGACAAGAGCUGCUGGCAAAAAGAGGAAUCUUCCAGUGAUCCUUGCUGCAGUCUCGAGUACUUUGCAUUCUGUGCGCACACCUUGCGGCCAGGCUCUCCAGAUGUUCCUCAUCCUUGGAAGUUGAGCUCAGUCAACUGUUUUUCUAACUGUGAGACUCUCCAAGGUCUCUGUAGCCCCUUUUCCCUCCUGUCCUGCUAAC
Zalophus californianus (California sea lion) is the source of this 498-nucleotide long non-coding RNA. RefSeq lists it as uncharacterized. Lineage: Eukaryota; Metazoa; Chordata; Mammalia; Carnivora; Otariidae. The record is from RefSeq and is a predicted model, not a curated record. The transcript is spliced from 3 exons.